Lithohypha guttulata is the source of this 72-nucleotide non-coding RNA. NCBI's taxonomy places the organism in Eukaryota, Fungi, Ascomycota, Eurotiomycetes, Chaetothyriales, Trichomeriaceae. The record is from the annotation of a RefSeq genome assembly.
CGGGGUAGUGCUGGGUGGUUAAGUGUCUUGUUUGGGUCAAGAAGGUUCUCAGUUCGAAUCUGAGUGCCCCGA